AAUAUUGGACAAUGGGCGAAAGCCUGAUCCAGCCAUGCCGCGUGAGUGAUGAAGGCCUUAGGGUUGUAAAGCUCUUUCGGCGGGGAAGAUAAUGACGGUACCCGCAGAAGAAGCCCCGGCUAACUUCGUGCCAGCAGCCGCGGUAAUACGAAGGGGGCUAGCGUUGUUCGGAAUCACUGGGCGUAAAGCGCACGUAGGCGGACAUUUAAGUCAGGGGUGAAAUCCCAGGGCUCAACCCUGGAACUGCCCUUGAUACUGGAUGUCUCGAGUCCGGGAGAGGUGAGUGGAACUCCGAGUGUAGAGGUGAAAUUCGUAGAUAUUCGGAAGAACACCAGUGGCGAAGGCGGCUCACUGGCCCGGUACUGACGCUGAGGUGCGAAAGCGUGGGGAGCAAACAG
This 398-nucleotide ribosomal RNA is filed under the name uncultured bacterium. RNAcentral's name for it is "bacterial SSU rRNA". It matches the Rfam family "Bacterial small subunit ribosomal RNA", at positions 360 to 775 of the family's 1533-position model. The record is from RNAcentral.